Molecule: ribosomal RNA, 253 nt
Filed under: uncultured bacterium
Lineage: Bacteria
Description: partial 16S ribosomal RNA
Rfam family: Bacterial small subunit ribosomal RNA
Source: RNAcentral
UACGUAGGGGCCGAGCGUUGUCCGGAGUUACUGGGCGUAAAGCGCGCGCAGGCGGCUCGUCAAGCCUGACGUGAAAGCCCCCGGCUCAACCGGGGAGGGUCGUCGGGGACUGGCGGGCUUGAGGUCGGCAGGGGUUGGUGGAAUUCCAGGUGUAGCAGUGAAAUGCGUAGAGAUCUGGAGGAACACCGAUGGCGAAGGCAGCCCCCUGGGCUAACACUGACGCUCAUGCACGAAAGCGUGGGGAGCAAACAGG